This 437-nucleotide ribosomal RNA is filed under the name uncultured bacterium. RNAcentral's name for it is "partial 16S ribosomal RNA". It matches the Rfam family "Bacterial small subunit ribosomal RNA", at positions 29 to 507 of the family's 1533-position model. The record is from RNAcentral.
AGCGAACGCUGGCGGCAGGCUUAACACAUGCAAGUCGAGCGGGCACACUAGUGGUGUCAGCGGCUGACGGGUGAGUAACGCGUGGGAACGUGCCCUUCGGUUCGGAAUCACUCAGGGAAACUUGAGCUAAUACCGGAUACGCGCGAGAGCAGUAAGGUCUAUCUGCCGAAGGAUCGGCCCGCCUCUGUUUAGCUCGUGGGUGAGGUUACGGCUCACCAAGGCGACGAUCAGUAGCUGGUCUGAGAGGAUGAGCAGACACACUGGGACGGAGACACGGCCCGGACUCCUACGGGAGGCAGCAGUGGCGAAUGUUGGACAGUGGGGGGAACCCUGAUCCAGCCAUGCCGCGAGAGUGAUGACGGCCUUAAGGUUGUAAAGCACGUUACUCCGGGACGAUAAUGACGGUACCGGAAGAAUAAGCCCCGGCUAACUUCGUG